Molecule: ribosomal RNA, 461 nt
Filed under: uncultured Corynebacterium sp.
Lineage: Bacteria; Bacillati; Actinomycetota; Actinomycetes; Mycobacteriales; Corynebacteriaceae
Description: bacterial SSU rRNA
Rfam family: Bacterial small subunit ribosomal RNA
Source: RNAcentral
CCUACGUGCGGCAGCAGUGGGGAAUAUUGCACAAUGGGCGCAAGCCUGAUGCAGCGACGCCGCGUGGGGGAUGACGGCCUUCGGGUUGUAAACUCCUUUCGUUAGGGACGAAGCCACAUUUUUUUGGGUGUGGUGACGGUACCUUUGUUAAGAAGCACCGGCUAACUACGUGCCAGCAGCCGCGGUAAUACGUAUGGUGCGAGCGUUGUCCGGAAUUACUGGGCGUAAAGAGCUCGUAGGUGGUUUGUUGCGUCGGCUGUGAAAUUCCGGGGCUUAACUUCGGGGUGGCAGGCGAUACGGGCAUAACUAGAGUGCUGUAGGGGAGACUGGAAUUCCUGGUGUAGCGGUGGAAUGCGCAGAUAUCAGGAGGAACACCGAUGGCGAAGGCAGGUCUCUGGGCAGUAACUGACGCUGAGGAGCGAAAGCAUGGGGAGCGAACAGGAUUAGAUACCCUGGUAGUC